Protopterus annectens (West African lungfish) is the source of this 162-nucleotide small nuclear RNA. RefSeq annotates it as U1 spliceosomal RNA. The record is from RefSeq and is a predicted model, not a curated record. Lineage: Eukaryota; Metazoa; Chordata; Ceratodontiformes; Protopteridae. The transcript has a single exon.
AUCAUUACCUGGCAGGGGGAAUACCACGAUCAAGAAAGUGGUUUCCUCAGGGUGAGACUGUUCCAUUGCACACGUUGGUUGGGUUGACCCCUGUGAUUUCCCGAAAUGUGGAAAACUCACCUGUAUAACUUAUGGCGCAGUGGUUAACAUUGUUGCCUCACA